This 134-nucleotide small nuclear RNA is filed under the name Triticum aestivum (bread wheat). Its description in RNAcentral is "snRNA U4". It matches the Rfam family "U4 spliceosomal RNA". Rfam says of the family: U4 small nuclear RNA (U4 snRNA) is a component of the major U2-dependent spliceosome. The structure of U4 snRNA from yeast and human has been reported. The record is from Rfam by way of RNAcentral. Lineage: Eukaryota; Viridiplantae; Streptophyta; Magnoliopsida; Poales; Poaceae. RNAcentral also lists the same sequence under 1 other name.
AUCUUUGCGCUUGGGGCAAUGACGCAGCUAGUGAGAUUAUACCGAGGUGCGUCAAUUGCUGGUUGAAAACUAUUUCCAAACCCCCUCUAUGGCCCUUCGGGGCCACUGAGAAUUUCUGGAAGGGAUCCCUCUCC